GAGGGUGUAACUUAGUAGUAGAGUGCGUGCUUAGUAUGCACAAGAUCUUGGGUUCAAUCCCCAGUACCUCCA
This is a transfer RNA of Camelus ferus (Wild Bactrian camel), 72 nucleotides long. It matches the Rfam family "tRNA". From Rfam's summary of the family: Transfer RNA (tRNA) molecules are approximately 80 nucleotides in length. NCBI's taxonomy places the organism in Eukaryota, Metazoa, Chordata, Mammalia, Artiodactyla, Camelidae. The record is from Rfam.